Molecule: ribosomal RNA, 1438 nt
Filed under: uncultured organism
Description: 16S ribosomal RNA
Rfam family: Bacterial small subunit ribosomal RNA
Source: RNAcentral
GAUGAACGCUAGCGACAGGCUUAACACAUGCAAGUCGAGGGGCAGCACAGGUAGCAAUACCGGGUGGCGACCGGCGCACGGGUGAGUAACGCGUAUGCAACUUGCCUAUCAGAGGGGGAUAACCCGGCGAAAGUCGGACUAAUACCGCAUGAAGCAGGGAUCCCGCAUGGGAAUAUUUGCUAAAGAUUCAUCGCUGAUAGAUAGGCAUGCGUUCCAUUAGGCAGUUGGCGGGGUAACGGCCCACCAAACCGACGAUGGAUAGGGGUUCUGAGAGGAAGGUCCCCCACAUUGGUACUGAGACACGGACCAAACUCCUACGGGAGGCAGCAGUGAGGAAUAUUGGUCAAUGGCCGAGAGGCUGAACCAGCCAAGUCGCGUGAGGGAUGAAGGUUCUAUGGAUCGUAAACCUCUUUUAUAAGGGAAUAAAGUGCGGGACGUGUCCCGUUUUGUAUGUACCUUAUGAAUAAGGAUCGGCUAACUCCGUGCCAGCAGCCGCGGUAAUACGGAGGAUCCGAGCGUUAUCCGGAUUUAUUGGGUUUAAAGGGUGCGUAGGCGGCCUUUUAAGUCAGCGGUGAAAGUCUGUGGCUCAACCAUAGAAUUGCCGUUGAAACUGGGGGGCUUGAGUAUGUUUGAGGCAGGCGGAAUGCGUGGUGUAGCGGUGAAAUGCAUAGAUAUCACGCAGAACCCCGAUUGCGAAGGCAGCCUGCCAAGCCAUGACUGACGCUGAUGCACGAAAGCGUGGGGAUCAAACAGGAUUAGAUACCCUGGUAGUCCACGCAGUAAACGAUGAUCACUAGCUGUUUGCGAUACACUGUAAGCGGCACAGCGAAAGCGUUAAGUGAUCCACCUGGGGAGUGCGCCGGCAACGGUGAAACUCAAAGGAAUUGACGGGGGCCCGCACAAGCGGAGGAACAUGUGGUUUAAUUCGAUGAUACGCGAGGAACCUUACCCGGGUUUGAACGCAUUCGGACCGAGGUGGAAACACCUUUUCUAGCAAUAGCCGUUUGCGAGGUGCUGCAUGGUUGUCGUCAGCUCGUGCCGUGAGGUGUCGGCUUAAGUGCCAUAACGAGCGCAACCCUUGCCACUAGUUACUAACAGGUAAAGCUGAGGACUCUGGUGGGACUGCCAGCGUAAGCUGCGAGGAAGGCGGGGAUGACGUCAAAUCAGCACGGCCCUUACAUCCGGGGCGACACACGUGUUACAAUGGCGUGGACAAAGGGAAGCCACCUGGCGACAGGGAGCGAAUCCCCAAACCACGUCUCAGUUCGGAUCGGAGUCUGCAACCCGACUCCGUGAAGCUGGAUUCGCUAGUAAUCGCGCAUCAGCCAUGGCGCGGUGAAUACGUUCCCGGGCCUUGUACACACCGCCCGUCAAGCCAUGGGAGCCGGGGGUACCUGAAGUCCGUAACCGCGAGGAUCGGCCUAGGGUAAAACUGGUG